This 415-nucleotide ribosomal RNA is filed under the name Vibrio chagasii. Its description in RNAcentral is "bacterial SSU rRNA". It matches the Rfam family "Bacterial small subunit ribosomal RNA", at positions 874 to 1288 of the family's 1533-position model. Lineage: Bacteria; Pseudomonadati; Pseudomonadota; Gammaproteobacteria; Vibrionales; Vibrionaceae. The record is from RNAcentral.
UGGGGAGUACGGUCGCAAGAUUAAAACUCAAAUGAAUUGACGGGGGCCCGCACAAGCGGUGGAGCAUGUGGUUUAAUUCGAUGCAACGCGAAGAACCUUACCUACUCUUGACAUCCAGAGAAGCCAGCGGAGACGCAGGUGUGCCUUCGGGAGCUCUGAGACAGGUGCUGCAUGGCUGUCGUCAGCUCGUGUUGUGAAAUGUUGGGUUAAGUCCCGCAACGAGCGCAACCCUUAUCCUUGUUUGCCAGCGAGUAAUGUCGGGAACUCCAGGGAGACUGCCGGUGAUAAACCGGAGGAAGGUGGGGACGACGUCAAGUCAUCAUGGCCCUUACGAGUAGGGCUACACACGUGCUACAAUGGCGCAUACAGAGGGCGGCGAACUUGCGAGAGUGAGCGAAUCCCAAAAAGUGCGUCG